UUACCUUUCUCGGCCUUUUGGCUAAGGUCAAGUGUAGUAUCUGUUCUUAUCAGUUUAAUAUUAUCAGUUUAAUAUCUGGUACAGUGCUACGGCCAUAUGAUAUAAACUUUGAUUUUUUAAGGGUAAAAGUAUAACAUCCCAGAUCCGGGUAUAGAGUUUUCAGCAACUUAG
Molecule: non-coding RNA, 171 nt
Organism: Arabis alpina (gray rockcress)
Lineage: Eukaryota; Viridiplantae; Streptophyta; Magnoliopsida; Brassicales; Brassicaceae
Source: Rfam